RNAcentral lists this unclassified non-coding RNA (369 nucleotides) under Hevea brasiliensis (rubber tree). Lineage: Eukaryota; Viridiplantae; Streptophyta; Magnoliopsida; Malpighiales; Euphorbiaceae. The record is from RNAcentral.
AAAAAAGGGGAAUUGGACAAAAAAUGAAAUUGGCAAAAAUACUCAAACUCACUUCAUAUCGCAUCUUUUAAUAGAGUCUAAGGAAUUGCAACUACCAUAGUUUGGCAAUUCAACUUACUUUGUUGUAGGAUAACAUAUGUUGGAUGGUCAAAAAAAUACGUGCAAAAUAUUAGUGCGACACGCACGAGGACCCUAAGAUAGAUAAAAAUAAAAAGAAAGACCGGAUAAGGAAUAAGUGUAUUUGUAAGAUGGAAACUGGUCACUGCAAUAAGAUAAGACAUGAUUGAGAUGGUUUGGACAUGUUCCUCAUAGAACAACUUACACGUUAGUAUGGGAUGCUGAGAGUAUUAAAGUCGCAAGAGAGGCAAA